This 254-nucleotide ribosomal RNA is filed under the name uncultured bacterium. RNAcentral describes it as "partial 16S ribosomal RNA". It matches the Rfam family "Bacterial small subunit ribosomal RNA", at positions 524 to 776 of the family's 1533-position model. The record is from RNAcentral.
UACGGGGGGAGCAAGCGUUGUUCGGAUUUACUGGGCGUAAAGGGCGCGUAGGCGGCCACCGCAAGUCGACUGUGAAAUCUCCGGGCUUAACCCGGAAAGGUCAGCCGAUACUGCGGGGCUAGAGUGCAGAAGGGGCAACUGGAAUUCUCGGUGUAGCGGUGAAAUGCGUAGAUAUCGAGAGAAACACCUGCGGCGAAGGCGGGUUGCUGGGCUGACACUGACGCUGAGGCGCGAAAGCUAGGGGAGCGAACGGG